AGAGAGUGCAAGCGUUAAUCGGAAUUACUGGGCGUAAAGCGCGCGUAGGUGGAUAUCUAAGUCGGGAUGUGAAAGCCCUGGGCUUAACCUAGGAACUGCACCCGAUACUGGGUAUCUAGAGUAUGAUAGAGGGAAGUGGAAUUUCCGGUGUAGCGGUGAAAUGCGUAGAUAUCGGAAAGGACACCAGUGGCGAAGGCGGCUUCCUGGAUUAAUACUGACACUGAGGUGCGAAAGCGUGGGGAGCAAACAGGAUUAGAGACCCUGGUAGUCCACGCCGUCAACGAUGAGAACUGGCUGUUGGGAGGGUCUACCUCUUAGUAGCGAAGCUAACGCGUUAAGUUCUCCGCCUGGGGAGUACGGCCGCAAGGUUA
RNAcentral lists this ribosomal RNA (371 nucleotides) under uncultured organism. RNAcentral's name for it is "partial 16S ribosomal RNA". It matches the Rfam family "Bacterial small subunit ribosomal RNA", at positions 527 to 896 of the family's 1533-position model. The record is from RNAcentral.